AUAGUACUCCCUCCGUUCGGAAUUACUUGUCGAAGAAAUGAAUGUAUCUAGAUGUAUUUUAGUUGUAGAUACAUAUAUUUUUGUGACAAGUAAUUCCAAACGAAGGAAGUACCAA
Molecule: non-coding RNA, 115 nt
Organism: Triticum urartu
Lineage: Eukaryota; Viridiplantae; Streptophyta; Magnoliopsida; Poales; Poaceae
Source: Rfam